GUGCCAGCCGCCGCGGUAAUACGUAGGGUGCGAGCGUUGUCCGGAAUUACUGGGCGUAAAGAGCUCGUAGGUGGUUUGUCGCGUCGUCUGUGAAAUUCUGGGGCUUAACUCCGGGCGUGCAGGCGAUACGGGCAUAACUUGAGUGCUGUAGGGGUAACUGGAAUUCCUGGUGUAGCGGUGAAAUGCGCAGAUAUCAGGAGGAACACCGAUGGCGAAGGCAGGUUACUGGGCAGUCACUGACGCUGAGGAGCGAAAGCAUGGGUAGCAAACAGGAUUAGAUACCCUGGUAGUCAAGGGCGAAUUCGUU
This 307-nucleotide ribosomal RNA is filed under the name uncultured Actinomycetales bacterium. Its description in RNAcentral is "bacterial SSU rRNA". It matches the Rfam family "Bacterial small subunit ribosomal RNA", at positions 505 to 810 of the family's 1533-position model. Lineage: Bacteria; Bacillati; Actinomycetota; Actinomycetes; Actinomycetales. The record is from RNAcentral.